UUUAUGGUAGAUGAAACCCUAGAAAUGAGGUUUAGGGUUAUUUUGGGGCUUUUUGAUUAGAUGCUUUUAGAACUCUCUUGAUGGGUUUAGAACCUUGGAAUAGGUUGCUUUGGAAGGAAUUUGACUUCCAUUUGGGGUUUGUGAGAGGAUUUCUACCUCAUAGGUGAGUUUUCUCCACCUUAGCCUACGUGGUCUUUUGCAUUUUUGGUAGUUCACUCUCCUUUUGUUGUAGUUGAGAGAGAGAGUUAUGUUAGUACCUUGUAUAGAGAGACCACCUAUGUAUCUGGUUUAGCAUUUGUACUUUAGAUGUUUAUUGUACUACUUCCCGUUUCUACCUAGUGGAUUUAGCUCUAUAUUCAUUUCGGUUAUUGUAGCAUCUAGAUAUACUUGCUCUGAUACUGCUAGAUGUUCUCUUUAUCUUGCUUUAUUUAUCGUUUUAUUUUAGACGCCUUAUAUGUUUUAAACGUAUGGCGGGUCUGGGCACGUGCCGAGCGGGCUUCCGCUGGGUCCCGGGGCGUGACAGAUUAAUUUGGUAUCAGAGCCUAGGGUUGAGUCUUAGUUGACCUAGUAAACCUUAGGCUAGUUGGACAAUAGGAAAUAGGCUCGUGAGAGAUAGGGUCUAUUCGACUUAUGAGCGAAAGUAUCGUGAUUGGGUAUCUUGAUAACUCUAGAAAGUGGAGUUAAAUUGAAGUGUAUAGCUCCUAACUUCGCGAAGGGUUACGUUGGCGGCCGACAACGUAACAUCGGGAGUUAGUAGUGAAGCACACUUCAUUACUUUCGCAUGAUUUGGGGUAUUAGCUGCUUGAGCGGGAUACGAUUGCGUGCGUUACUAACUUACGCUUUUAUGAUGUUGUAGUGACGAUGCCGAUUACACGCUCUCAAUCUGCCAGAGCGGAUAAUGCGGCAAACUUGGAGGAGGUCGAGACCUCCGCUACCUCCAGAUCCGGCGAGGUCCGUGAGUUGAGGGGCCAGCUUGCGGCCCUCACUGAUAUGGUAGCACAGCAGACUAAGGCAGCGUGCCGACAGGAGGCGUGGAUGAAGCGCCUAGAGGACCUUCUUCUGCAGCAGGCGGCACCUUCCAGGGAGACCCAGGCCCCUACACCGCCAGCACCAAUUGUGGACGUCGCGCCGAGAGCGCCGUCCCCUGCGCCCAGUUCGUCGUGUGCAGCGCCUGUGGCCGCGCCUCAGGAGGAGGUUGGCGGCGCCACCUGUUCAGGCACCCCCGAUUGGAGCUAUUUUUCCCGUGUUGGUUGAGGGAGCGGAGCGGGACCGACUGAUGGAGCGCCUCAACGAGUUCAGGAGGUGCGGUCCCCGGAUCUUCGACGGCGAAAAGGUCGACCACUGAAUCGUAGAGAAGUGGUUGAUGCAUAUGGAGAAGCUCUUUCGCGACACCUUCGUGGAGGAGAGGGAUCAGGUUUGGCUUGCCACACACCACCUGGACGGCGAGGCCUAUCGCUGGUGUUUGGAUCUCCAGGAGCACCCCAGCACUGAUUUGGCAGCUAUUACUUGGAAGAGGUUCAAGGGGCUUCUUUUGGCUCAUUACUUCCCGACCAGUGUCAAGAGAAAGAUGGAGCAGGACUUGCGCAACUUGCGCCAGGGAGACAGGACAGUAGCCGAGUACGAGCGGUAGUUUUCUCGGCUUCUACAUUGCGUGCCUUUUGUCGUGCGGGACGACGAGGACAAGGCCCGCAUCUUCGAGCGAGGAUUGCGACCGUCGAUCUUCCAGUUUGUGCAAUCCUCUAACCUCCAAACCUACCGGGAGGUGGUGGAUCGCGCGCUCAUCGUGGAGAGCGGCGCGGCAGAUGUCCAGGAGCGGCGAGAGGCUAUGGACAAGGGUAAGGCCAAGAGGCCUGCGGCUGAGGGUGUGAGCCAAACGCACUCUAGGAGGCUGCCGAAGCAUCCUAGGAGCCAGCAGCGUGGGCGUGGCUCGGCAACUCACCGUGGAGGUUCUGACCGACGUCGACCUUCCCAGUGCGUGAUCUGUAGUGGUCCUCACAUUCCACCACAGUGCCCACAGCGGGGAGGGAGGUGUUUCCAGUGUGGCAAGGAGGGCCACUUCCGGACCGAGUGCCCGAGGGGUUUGUCACCGGCACCAUCAUCUGCAUCGGCACCGGCUCUACCAGCCGCCAGCUAGGGGACUCUAUCGGCGCAGUACCAGCCUGGGCGGCCACCCGUCCAGCGCCAGAGCGAGGGUUCUCGACAGGCCCCGAGUGGGCGUAUGUAUGCCGCUCAGACCUAGGAGGCGGCAGUAGCCGAGGAUGUGGUUGCAGGUAUCAUUUUACUUGAUGACAUUAGAGUUCUUGCAUUAUUUGAUACCGGUGCAUCACAUUCAUUCAUAGAUCGGCUGUUUGCCGAGUUGCAUGGCAUCCCUAUGCUUUCUUUGUUGUAUCCGAGAUGUGUAGUUGUCCCCGACCAUUCUUUGGAUAUUAGAGAGUAUUGCCCCAGUUGCCCUAUUCGGGUAGGAAAUUGGAUUAUGCCCGUGGACUUGCUAUCCCUGCGCAAGCUGGGGGAAUUUGAUGUGGUCUUAGGCAUGGAUUGGUUAACCAAAUAUUAUGCCACGAUAGAUUGCAAGAAUCUCACGGUUACUUUUAGAGAACCGGGACAGACUGAGGUUGUAUUUAGAGGAUGCCAGAGUUCGCUUUUUGCGAUGAUGAUCAGCUCAUCUCGAGCUAGGCAGGUGAUCAGCAGAGGUUGCGUAGCCUAUUUGGCUAGUGUCGUGCUGAGGGGCGGGGACGACGCCCCUAGGAUUGAGGAUAUCCCAGUGGUGCGGGAGUUUUGUGACGUGUUUCCAGCUGAGCUACCGGGUAUGCAACCCGAUAGGGAGAUCGAGUUUGUGGUAGAUCUCGUCCCUGAGACUACUCCAAUCUCGAAGUCACCCUAUAGGAUGGCACCGGCGGAGCUGAAGGUGCUGAGGGCACAGCUACAGGAUCUGUUGGAUAAAGGCUUCAUUCGACCGAGCGUCUCACCGUGGGGGGCGCCAAUUCUGUUCGUCAAGAAAAAGGACGGAUCACUUCGCCUAUGCGUGGGCUAUCGUGAACUCAAUAAAGUCACGAUCAAGAAUAAGUAUCCGUUGCCGAGAAUCGAUGACUUGUUUGAUCAGUUUCACGGAUCGUGUGUGUAUUCCAAGAUCGACUUGCAGUCGGGAUACCACCAGUUGAAGAUCAAACCCGAUGAUGUAUCGAAGACGGCUUUUAGAACACGAUAUGGACAUUAUGAGUUAACUGUUAUGCCGUUCGGGCUUACUAAUGCCCCGGUAGCUUUUAUGGAUCUAAUGAACCGUGUUUUUAAGCCUUAUCUAGACAGUUUCGUCAUGGUGUUCAUCGACGAUAUUUUGGUUUAUUCCCGAAGUGAUGCAGAUCAGAGGAGCAUUUGAAGCUUGUACUUCAAGUACUUCUGGAAAAGGAGCUCUAUGCCAAGUUGAAAAAGUGUGAAUUUUGGCUUCGAGAGGUAGCUUUUCUUGGACAUUUGAUUUCAGGAUCGGGUAUAGCUGUGGAUCCUAAGAAGAUUGAAGCAAUCAAGGAUUGGCCGAGACUGACGAGCGUCACGGAGAUACGGAGCUUCCUUGGAUUGGUCGGAUACUACCGGAGAUUUGUUGAGGGGUUCGCCAAGCUGUCUACUCCCCUCACGAGGCUCACGCAUAAAGGAGUCAAGUUCAUUUGGAAUGAUGCAUGCGAGAGAAGCUUCCAAGAGUUGAAGCAAAGAUUGAUGACCGCCCCGAUCCUAACCCUGCCAAUGGCUGGAGCAGGGUAUGUGGUUUAUAGUGAUGCUUCACUUAAUGGAUUGGGUUGUGUGUUGAUGCAGGAUGGCAAAGUGAUCACGUACGCUUUGCGCCAACUAAAGGAAUAUGAAAAUAACUACCCGACGCAUAAUUUGAAGUUCGCGGCCGUAGUCUUCGCAAUGAAGUUAUGGCGCCACUAUCUUUAUGGUGAGCGGUGUGAAGUGUACACGAAUCACAAGAGUUUGAAGUACUUAUUCACUCAGAAAAAGUUGAAUUUGAGACAGCGCAGAUGGUUGGAGCUGCUCAAGGAUUACGACCUAACGAUUCUAUACCACCCAGGUAAGGCUAACGUGGUGGCGGAUGCGCUAAGUAGAAAAUCGACGGAAAACUUAGCGAUGCAUGUUGUUACCCAACCGCAGUUGAUCGAGCAGAUGAAGCGGUUGGAGUUGGAGGUGGUGAUUCCAGAUAUGCCUUUGAGAUUGAUGACUUUUGUAGUGCAACCUACACUCUUGGAUAGAAUUAAAGAAAAGUAAGCUUCCGAUGUGAAGUUGCAAAAGGUUCGAGAUAUAAUGGUUGAUGGUUGCACCGCCGACUACCUUGUGGAUGACCAAGGAUUGAUGCGUUUUCGCGAGCGGAUUUGUGUACCGGCGGAUUCGGGAAUUAAAAAGGAUAUCCUACAAGAAGCGCACCAAGCGCCCUAUGCUAUACAUCCGAGAGGCACCAAGAUGUACAAGGACUUGAAGUUGCUUUAUUGGUGGCCCAGGAUGAAAAAGGACGUUGGCGAGUUUGUAGCUCGUUGUCUAACUUGCCAACAAAUAAAGGCUGAGCAUCGACUACCCGCAGGAAAACUUCAGAGUUUGCCCAUCCCGUGUGGAAGUGGGAGAAGAUCACCAUGGAUUUCGUGACUAGAUUGCCCCGCUCCCAGGCCGGGCAUGAUGCUAUAUGGGUGACGUGGAUAGGUUCACGAAGUCGGUGCACUUCAUACCUAUUAAUACUACUUGGACCGAAGAGAAACUCGCACAAGUGUACCUUGAUGAGAUUGUGAGACUUCAUGGAGUGCCUACAUCGAUAAUAUCGGAUCGAGACACUCGAUUUGUGUCUCACUUUUGGAGGAGUCUACAAGACGCCCUAGGCACUCGAUUGGACUUCAGCACUGCUUUCCACUCUCAGAGUGACGGGCAGUUGGAGUGCACUAUUCAGACCUUAGAGGAUAUGCUCCGAGCAUGUGUGAUAGAUUUUCAGGGAGGAUGGUCGCAGCAUCUACCGAUGGCGGAGUUUGCUUAUAAUAAUAGUUAUCAAGUAAGCAUCAAGAUGGCGCCCUUCGAAGCACUUUAUGGACGGAAGUGUAGAUCGCCACUUCAUUGGAGUGAAGUAGGCGAGAGAUUGGCCUUAGGCCCUGACGUGCUCCAGGAAGCUGAGGACAAGGUUUGAAUUGCUCGGGAGCGACUGUUGACGGCACAGAGUAGACAGAGGAGCUACGCCGACCGACGACGGCCGACCGACGACGGCGAGACUUAGAGUUCCAAGUUGGAGACCAUGUGUUCUUGAAGGUCUCGCCGACAAGAGGAAUCAAGAGAUUUGGGGUUCGGGGUAAGUUGAGCCCCCGUUUCAUUGGACCGUAUGAAAUUUUGGAACGUGUAGGUCUGGUAGCGUAUCGGCUUGCUCUACCACCGAACCUAUCGGGCGUGCACAACGUCUUUUAUGUAUCGGUCCUUCGAAAGUACGUCUUCGACUCGACUCAUGUGUUGGAUGCUACACCCUUGGAGUUGCAGAACGAUUUGAGCUUCGAGGAGCAACCAGUGAAGAUCUUGGCUCACGAGGUGAAGAAAUUACGGAAUCGGGACAUUCCGUAUGUAAAGGUCCUUUGGUGCAACCACGGGGAGCGGGAGGCCACGUGGGUGCUGGAGAGUGCGCUGCCGGAGCGCUAUCCCUAUCUUUUCAGAUGGAGUCUUGAGGUAUGUUGUAACUUUCGAGUUUCGCGGACGAAACUCCUUUUUAGGAGGGGUGAAUGUAACACACUGGACCUUUGCAAAUAGCGAGGUUCGAGUGUUUACGUUCCGAAUUUUUUCACACGUUGUGGAGGGUCGUAGACAGUGUUCCGACCUAUGGUUCGAGUCCCGAGAAUUGAGGUUUAAAACUUGGCACCAAAACCCAAAAAGUUGGAUUAUUGGUGUGCUCUCGGGUAGCCUUCAGCAGGCUGUGUACCAAUACAAGGUUGAUGGCUGUACCGGUACGGGGUGAUGGUUGUACCGGUACGCGGGGCCGUGUACCGGUACACAGGCAGCUUCUCAGCCAACCCGAGGCUCGGGUUUGGCAUUUUCGUGGGAUGUGUACCGGUACGCGACCCCGUGUACCAGUACGCAGUGCAAUCCGCAGACUGCUUGAACUGCAGGGGUGGUUUUGCUAUUGUAGUAACACUAUAUGUGUACCCACGCCCCUUAGGGCUCUCUUUGAGCCUUGCACCAGCAGAGAAUAGGUAGGGGAGCCUCUCUCUUCCCCUCUUUAGAUUUGAUCUCCUUUUAGCUUGGAUUUUGGUGGAUUGAUCUCUCUCUUUUCCCUCUUUGUGCAUCUCCACCAUAGUUGAAGCCUGGAGCUUGGACUUGAGGCUUGUUUGAGGGAAGAUUCUUGGACCUAGAGGACUUUGAGCUUAGUUUGAAGCUUCUUAGAGGUUUGUAGCUUAUCCUCCUUCUCUAGAUUUUAGUUUUGAUGCUUUAUGGUAGAUGAAACCUUUGAAAUGAGAUUUAGGGUUAUUUUGGAGCUUUUUGAUUAGAUGCUUUUAGAACUCUCUUGAUGGGUUUAGAACCUUGGAAUAGGUUGCUUUGGAAGGGAUUUGGCUUCCAUUUGGGGUUUGUGAGAGGAUUUCUACCUCAUAGGUGAGUUUUCUCCACCUUAGCCUACGUGGUCUUAUGAUUAAGUUUAGGGUUAAUCAUAAGGUUCGUUUAACUCUGGUUCCUACAUUUAUAGGUUGUUAGGAGGCUAGUAGACACCUUCGUCGGAGCUUACGAAGGGUUUCGAUAACUUCGGUGGGUUUGGCUUCAUUGGAAUAGGAGAAAAUAUCUCCUAAGUGAUUAAAUGCUUUCGUAUCAUCGUGGUUUAUGCAUUUUCAUCAUAGAUAGGAUUUAUGUGAAUUUUUUAAUGCUUAGAAUGCAUGCAUUAUGUAUCAUGAAUAUUUCACUCUAUGUGUAGAGCCUUAUGUGUAGUAUCUAUGCAUGUGUUAAGUAUUCGUAUUGCAAGUUUGGGAAUAUGUCUCUUAUGAGGAAAAUGUUUAGAAUUGUGUACUCUUGAACAUAAUCAUCAUGCUUGACUUAGUGAACAAAGUGCCAUAAAGGGGCACUUGACUUAGUAAACUGUGAAACUGCAACUUAGAGAUAUAGUGAUAGGCCAUUCAGACAUCCACUAUUAUUCCGUGUUUUAGACAUGACGACGUAAUGGUAGGCCAUCGGGACACUUGAUAUAUUCCAUAUUUUUAGACAUGAGGACUUGGUACUUGAGACAGAUCUUUCGCUUGCUUGCCAUUGUGCUCAUUCGAACAUGCUUGUGACGGUCGCUUCCUACAAGCUGGCACUCCGGAGAUAGCCAUCGCGACAUAUGCUCGCUCGUGCGGGAUUGGGUGCCGAAAUGGGAUGCCGUGGGGGAGGCUCAUUCCUAGAGUGGGAAUGUUGACUACCACGGGGCCAUUAGGCACGGCGCAGGCCAGACAGCCUACGGGUGGGUCUUACAUGAUUGGAACUUAGUGACAGACCAUGCCAGUUGGACUUUGACUAGAAUAGUAAACAACGACAUUUUACUAUCUACAUCAUGGAUAUUCUGUUGAUUGCAUAUACAUGCUUAUACAUGUUAGUCACACUCAUGAACAUACUUGUUGUAGUUGUUUUAUUACUUAUGCAAUUCUUGCUAAGUAGAGAUAUCAUGGUAGAGUAGUACUCAUGGUUACAUACUUGUUCUUUAUUUAGCUUUUGUUUAUACUCGUACUUACUCUCUUUUGUUCAGUUUUGGGCCUAGUGACACAUUUCACUAAAAUCAGUAAUUGCCUAUUGGAAACUAUUUUUAAUAGUUCUCACGCCCUCGUUUCUAUGGUUUUAUUUCAGAGACCUCUACACCGGUGGAGGCACGGGACCGCGGCAAGGGGAUCGCUUAGCUAGCUAGCAAGGAGCGUUUCUUUUGCAUUUUUGGUAGUUCACUCUCCUUUUGGUGUAGUUGAGAGAGAGAGAGUUAUGUUAGUACCUUGUAUAGAGAGACCACCUAUGUAUCUGGUUUAGCAUUUGUACUUUGGAUGUUUAUUGUACUACUUCCCGUUUCUACCUAGUGGAUUUAGCUCUAUAUUCAUUUCAGUUAUUGUAGCAUCUAGAUAUACUUGCUCUGAUACUGCUAGAUGUUCUCUUUAUCUUGCUUUAUUUAUCGUUUUAUUUUAGACGCCUUAUAUGUUUUAGACGUAUGGCGGGUCUGGGCACGUGCCGGGCGGGCUUCCGCUGGGUCCCGGGGCGUGACACGGCCUCUGCGAAACGCCAUUGCCAUCAUAGCAUCGUGUCAUCGGUGAAAUACAUGGAAGCGGUCUGGACCUUGUCAUCCUCAUCCUCCAACAGCAGCGCCUUGAGAUAGCGCUCCAUGUGCCAUAGAAAAUUGUCGAACUCCUUCUCAUCGC
Molecule: long non-coding RNA, 8360 nt
Filed under: Ananas comosus (pineapple)
Lineage: Eukaryota; Viridiplantae; Streptophyta; Magnoliopsida; Poales; Bromeliaceae
Description: long non-coding RNA (ACOM_LNC017897)
Source: RNAcentral